GACGAACGCUGGCGGCGUGCUUAACACAUGCAAGUCGAACGGAAAGGCCCUGCUCUUGUGGGGUGCUCGAGUGGCGAACGGGUGAGUAACACGUGAGUAACCUGCCCUUGACUUUGGGAUAACUUCAGGAAACUGGGGCUAAUACCGGAUAGGAGCUCCUGCUGCAUGGGGGGGGUUGGAAAGUUUCGGCGGUUGGGGAUGGACUCGCGGCUUAUCAGCUUGUUGGUGGGGUAGUGGCUUACCAAGGCUUUGACGGGUAGCCGGCCUGAGAGGGUGACCGGCCACAUUGGGACUGAGAUACGGCCCAGACUCCUACGGGAGGCAGCAGUGGGGAAUAUUGCACAAUGGGCGGAAGCCUGAUGCAGCAACGCCGCGUGCGGGAUGACGGCCUUCGGGUUGUAAACCGCUUUCGCCUGUGACGAAGCGUGAGUGACGGUAAUGGGUAAAGAAGCACCGGCUAACUACGUG
RNAcentral lists this ribosomal RNA (468 nucleotides) under uncultured bacterium. RNAcentral describes it as "partial 16S ribosomal RNA". It matches the Rfam family "Bacterial small subunit ribosomal RNA", at positions 28 to 507 of the family's 1533-position model. The record is from RNAcentral.